RNAcentral lists this ribosomal RNA (579 nucleotides) under Candida tropicalis. Its description in RNAcentral is "eukaryotic LSU rRNA". It matches the Rfam family "Eukaryotic large subunit ribosomal RNA", at positions 73 to 669 of the family's 3401-position model. Lineage: Eukaryota; Fungi; Ascomycota; Pichiomycetes; Serinales; Debaryomycetaceae. The record is from RNAcentral.
GAUGCCUUAGUAGCGGCGAGUGAAGCGGCAAAAGCUCAAAUUUGAAAUCUGGCACUUUCAGUGUCCGAGUUGUAAUUUGAAGAAGGUAUCUUUGGGUCUGGCUCUUGUCUAUGUUUCUUGGAACAGAACGUCACAGAGGGUGAGAAUCCCGUGCGAUGAGAUGUCCCAGACCUAUGUAAAGUUCCUUCGAAGAGUCGAGUUGUUUGGGAAUGCAGCUCUAAGUGGGUGGUAAAUUCCAUCUAAAGCUAAAUAUUGGCGAGAGACCGAUAGCGAACAAGUACAGUGAUGGAAAGAUGAAAAGAACUUUGAAAAGAGAGUGAAAAAGUACGUGAAAUUGUUGAAAGGGAAGGGCUUGAGAUCAGACUUGGUAUUUUGUAUGUUACUCUCUCGGGGGUGGCCUCUACAGUUUACCGGGCCAGCAUCAGUUUGGGCGGUAGGACAAUUGCAAAGAAAUGUGGCACUGCCUCGGUAGUGUGUUAUAGUCUUUGUCGAUACUGCCAGCCUAGACUGAGGACUGCGGCUUCGGCCUAGGAUGUUGGCAUAAUGAUCUUAAGUCGCCCGUCUUGAACCACGGAACCA